This 498-nucleotide transfer RNA is filed under the name uncultured Colwelliaceae bacterium. RNAcentral's name for it is "partial 16S-23S ribosomal RNA intergenic spacer". The stretch from base 105 to 177 matches the Rfam family "tRNA". The record is from RNAcentral. Lineage: Bacteria; Pseudomonadati; Pseudomonadota; Gammaproteobacteria; Alteromonadales; Colwelliaceae.
CCUCCUUAUCUUGAAGUAAAACUGCUUAAUGGAAAUUCUCUUUUAAGAGCGUUUCACGAGUGUUCACACAAAUUACAUGAUAACAAAUUGAAAGAUACCCUGAUGGGGCUAUAGCUCAGCUGGGAGAGCGCCUGCCUUGCACGCAGGAGGUCAGCAGUUCGAUCCUGCUUAGCUCCACCAUUUACUUUUACUCUGCGUUAGUUCGCAGCUCGUGUAGUAAACUACACGUCGCUACUAACUGCCUUGAUUAAAAAUAAAUGACCAUCUGAUAUCUUUUAACUAAAGAAAAAGACCAAAUUUAAAUACACUUUUACAGUGAUUUUAAAUUUGGUUUUUUAAACCAUAUCUUUGCCGAAUGUGUACAAAUGAUAAGUUCUUUAACAAUCUGGAAAGCUGAUAUAAAUAUCGGUAUUUAUAUAACAAACGCGGUGUCGCGCUGCUGUUUGUAACGUUAUAAAUACCAAGCUGUUAGUUCAUUCUCUUAUCGUGAAUGAAGUA